GGUCGCAAGACUGAAACUCAAAGGAAUUGACGGGGGCCCGCACAAACGGUGGAGCAUGUGGUUUAAUUCGAUGCAACGCGAAGAACCUUACCGAGACUUGACAUCCCGUGUUGGCAUGUGAGAGCAUGUUUUAGGACUAUGUCAUACACGGAGACAGGUGGUGCAUGACAGUCGUCAGCUCGUGUCGUGAGAUGUUGGGUUAAGUCCCGCAACGAGCGCAACCCUUAUACCUAGUUGCCAGCAAGUGAUGUUGGGGACUCUAGGUAGACUGCCGGUGAAAGUCGGAGGAAGGUGGGGAUGACGUCAAGUCCUCAUGCCCUUUAUGUCUCGGGCUACACACGUGCUACAACGGCUGGAACAGAGGGAAGCGAAGCCGCGAGGUAUAGCCAAUCUCGAAAGCCAGUCUCAGUUCGGACUGCAGGCUGCAACUCGCAUGCAUGAAGUCGGAAUCGCUCCUACCGCAGGUCAGCAUACUGCGGUGAUACGUUCCCGGGCAUGUACACACCGCCCGUCACACCAACCGAGUUG
Molecule: ribosomal RNA, 528 nt
Filed under: uncultured organism
Description: bacterial SSU rRNA
Rfam family: Bacterial small subunit ribosomal RNA
Source: RNAcentral